RNAcentral lists this unclassified non-coding RNA (359 nucleotides) under soil metagenome. Its description in RNAcentral is "partial contains 5.8S ribosomal RNA, internal transcribed spacer 2, and large subunit ribosomal RNA". The stretch from base 2 to 121 matches the Rfam family "5.8S ribosomal RNA", at positions 35 to 154 of the family's 154-position model. The record is from RNAcentral.
GGAUGAAGAACGUAGCGAAAUGCGAUAAGUAAUGUGAAUUGCAGAAUUCAGUGAAUCAUCGAAUCUUUGAACGCACAUUGCGCCCGUCAGUAUUCUGGCGGGCAUGCCUGUUCGAGCGUCAUUACGCCCCUCAAGUCCCCUGUGGACUUGGUGUUGGGGAUCGGCGAGGCUGGUUUUCCAGCACAGCCGUCCCUUAAAUUAAUUGGCGGUCUCGCCGUGGCCCUCCUCUGCGCAGUAGUAAAACACUCGCAACAGGAGCCCGGCGCGGUCCACUGCCGUAAAACCCCCCAACUUUUUAUAGUUGACCUCGAAUCAGGUAGGACUACCCGCUGAACUUAAGCAUAUCAAUAAGCGGAGGA